GUUGGUGUAGCUCAGUGGAUAGAGCGUCUCCCUGCGGAGGAGAAGGCCGGAGGUUCGAGCCCUCUCACCAACGCCC
This 76-nucleotide transfer RNA is filed under the name Chloroflexota bacterium. RNAcentral's name for it is "Chloroflexi bacterium tRNA-Arg". It matches the Rfam family "tRNA". Rfam says of the family: Transfer RNA (tRNA) molecules are approximately 80 nucleotides in length. Their secondary structure includes four short double-helical elements and three loops (D, anti-codon, and T loops). Further hydrogen bonds mediate the characteristic L-shaped molecular structure. tRNAs have two regions of fundamental functional importance: the anti-codon, which is responsible for specific mRNA codon recognition, and the 3' end, to which the tRNAs corresponding amino acid is attached (by aminoacyl-tRNA synthetases). tRNAs cope with the degeneracy of the genetic code in two manners: having more than one tRNA (with a specific anti-codon) for a particular amino acid; and 'wobble' base-pairing, i.e. permitting non-standard base-pairing at the 3rd anti-codon position. Lineage: Bacteria; Bacillati; Chloroflexota. The record is from RNAcentral.